This 1240-nucleotide ribosomal RNA is filed under the name metagenome. Its description in RNAcentral is "bacterial LSU rRNA". It matches the Rfam family "Bacterial large subunit ribosomal RNA", at positions 1564 to 2815 of the family's 2925-position model. The record is from RNAcentral.
UGAAUACGAGAUGCUACGGCGUCGAAGCAGUCUAUGUCAUACUUCCAAAAAAAGCUCGCACUGUCAUAAACAAAUAAUGCCUGUACCAUAACCGACACAGGUGGGUAGGUAGAGUAUACUAAGGGGCGCGAGAUAACUCUCUCUAAGGAACUCGGCAAAAUGACUCCGUAACUUCGGGAGAAGGAGUGCCUUAUUUAUAAGGUUGCAAUAACAAGAUCCAAGCAACUGUUUAUCAAAAACACAGGUCUCCGCUAAGUCGUAAGACGAUGUAUGGGGGCUGACGCCUGCCCAGUGCCAGAAGGUUAAAGAAGUUGGUUAGCAUUCGCGAAGCUGAUAACUGAAGCCCUGGUGAACGGCGGCCGUAACAAUAACGGUCCUAAGGUAGCGAAAUUCCUUGUCGGGUAAGUUCCGACCCGCACGAAAGGCGUAAUGAUUUGGAUACUGUCUCGGAGAGGGGCUCGGUGAAAUAGACUUGUCUGUGGAGAUGCGGACUACCUGCACCAGGACAGAAAGACCCUAUGAAGCUUUACUGUAACUUGAGAUUGAAAUUGGACUUUACUUGCGCAGUAUAGGUGGGAGGCGUUGAUAAUAUUCUUGCGGGAUUAUUUGAGCCAUCAGUGAGAUACCACUCUUGUAAUGUUAGAUUUCUAACUUUGUAUCAUUAUCUGUCAAAGGACAGUUUCAGGCGGGCAGUUUGACUGGGGCGGUCGCCUCCUAAACGGUAACGGAGGCGCACAAAGGUUUCCUCUGAACGGGUAGAAAUCGUAUCUAGAGUGUAAAGGCAUAAGGAAGCUUGACUGUGAGACCUACAAGUCGAGCAGGGACGAAAGUCGGUCUUAGUGAUCUGACGGUGCUGAGUGGAAAGGCCGUCACUCAACGGAUAAAAGUUACUCUAGGAUAACAGGCUGAUCUCCCCCAAGAGUUCACAUCGACGGGGAGGUUUGGCACCUCGAUGUCGGCUCAUCGCAUCCUGGGGCGGUAGUACGUCCCAAGGGUUGGGCUGUUCGCCCAUGAAAGCGGUACGCGAGCUGGGUUCAGAACGUCGUGAGACAGUUCGGUCCAUAUCCGGUGUAGGCGUUAGAAUAUUGAGAGGAGCCUUCUUUAGUACGAGAGGACCGAGAAGGACAUACCUCUGGUGUACCAGUUAUCGUGCCAACGGUAAACGCUGGGUAGCUAUGUAUGGAGUGGAUAACCGCUGAAAGCAUCUAAGUGGGAAGCCCACCUCAAGAUAAGUAUUCCC